Cyprinus carpio (common carp) is the source of this 713-nucleotide long non-coding RNA. RefSeq lists it as uncharacterized. The record is from RefSeq and is a predicted model, not a curated record. The transcript is spliced from 3 exons. NCBI's taxonomy places the organism in Eukaryota, Metazoa, Chordata, Actinopteri, Cypriniformes, Cyprinidae.
AUUGAUUCAUUCAGGAAUGAACCACCAACCGUGUUUUGAUUGGAGACACUCGACGGUUCGGAGUGACUCUGCUUUGGCUUUGAUUUAAACUAGACAAGGACUUCAAUCAGGUACUUCAGAGUCAGAAAAGUGUGACAGAACCGUGUAUAUUGACUUAUUAACAAGAAGGAGGAGAGCUGGCUCACUUCCCUAACUGAGAUAAUCUCUUCCUGUUUUUGGACACCUUGGCCUCUUUCUUGGAGCAGGAUGCCUUUUCCCCCCCGAAACAUGAAUUUGUGGUUUGGAGUGUCAAUGCGUGUCAGCCUUGUUGAGAGAUCUGUCUAAUUUAGUACAUGUAUGUUGGUGUAAUAGGCAGCUUGUGUACCUGUUCCCCAUCCUUCUGCACAGGAACUCCAUCUGCUGCUGGAGAGAGAAGGAGAUAAAAAAAGUGUAAAUUAUAGCAGGGUGCUUUGAGACUCAAAUAGGAAAAGUAUAAGCAGGGCAUAUAUUUUUGUGAUUUGAAGAGUAGUUGGCUGUGAACCAUAUUUCAAGGAUGUUACAAGAUCAGGAAGUGAUCUUACAAUAAAACACUGUAAACUACAUCAGUGCAGUCUACAGUACAUCUACUGCCUACAUUUCUUAUAAAAACAACUGAAUUGCCUCUGUUAUAGUAAUUAGCGUUUGCUGAGAACUUGGACCUUGUUUAUUUGUAAUUAAUUUUCUCUUAGCCAGUU